Molecule: non-coding RNA, 19563 nt
Organism: Pelobates cultripes (western spadefoot toad)
Lineage: Eukaryota; Metazoa; Chordata; Amphibia; Anura; Pelobatidae
Source: the annotation of a GenBank genome assembly
GAUAAAGACAUACCCAUCUGAUCCAUGCAAUUCGUUUUAUGAUCCUUUUUCAACAGCAGCCCCAUUUCCUGUAAGUAUAUCUGCCCCUGACCCAUGCAAAUGAUAAUAUGGUUAUGUGGGGUUAAUAGGAUGAUUUUAAAAGAGCAGAGUUGUUCUGAGAUAUACCCAAAAUAAGAAUUUGUAAAAAUUUUAAUUUAACUGGGUUUGCUAUUAAGAAUAAAUGACCAGGUAUUAAAAACCUCAAAUUUGAAUUAUGAAUGCAUCACAAUCACAAGUACAGAAUAAUCUAUUAUGUCUAUGGUUUGAAGUUCAGUUGAUCCAAUCCUAAUAAUUGGUAAGUUGACUGGAAAAUAGCAAAUUUUCUGAGAUAAGCAUUUAAGUUAAGCACUGAAGUUAUGAGGGUAUAAAUGUGGAUGUUAAGGUUUCUGAUUCAUUUAUUAUAUGCCGCUUCAGUGUUGCAUCUUAAUCUUGCCAUCCUGGACGUGAUGACCUCACGUCCAGUCUGCUUGGAAUCAUUUUGUAAUGGCCCUCAGCUGUGUAAUGGGUAUAUAUUACAGGAUGGUGAGGUGAGUUUUAGGCUGUCACUUGAGAAAGGCCCAGUUCUUUGUGCUUAUAUGUUGGGGUUGUAAUUUCACAAGUGUUAGGGCUUCAACAUUUUUCUGAUGUUUAUCAGGACUGUUUAUUGUAAUUAGCCUUUGUCACUUUCUUUUAUGUUAUCUGACUUUUGUGGCAUUGGUUAUUGUUUACCAGUGUAUUGUUUCUUUAUGUAAUAAAGAUUGUCUUUUUUAUAUGAAUAUUCAGUUUGCCUAUAGAAUCAGUAUAAAGUCCAUAAAGUCAGACAUGAAAAUAAGUCAUAAAAUACAGUAGCAAGGUGACACAUAGAAAAAUUGCUGAGGAAGCUAAAAAGGAAAAAAUUCAGAAGCAUGCUUCCCGGUGGAAAAAUAUUCAUCUUUUAUCUUUUUUAAAAUUAAGAUUUUCUUUCUACAACAAAGCUGAAAUGAUCUAGGAGGCUUCAUAUUUUGUAGUUCUAACUCUGAGAGAGAAAACACAGAGUGGUUAAUAGAAAAGUAAAAGGUUGACUUGUGUGACCAAUUGGCAUACCUUAAAAUUACCAAGAGAUUCACACAGCUGUGGCCCACAUAGCAUGAGCACCAAUGGAAUGAGAAUUACCGGGUAGAGACAUAAACCAGCUAAUCAAUGUGGCCUCAAAAGGAUACCAAAUAGAAAUGUUAGGACAACUUGUCCAAAAGAGGCUAUUGAGGUAAUGACCUAUUAACAAGCAAGAAUUUCAUGAAUUGUAAAACUAAAUAAACAUCCCAAAAUGUGGAAUGUGGGAAUAUUUAGGCUUUGGUUGAUGCAACAACUGAAAAGCUCUUAGUAACCAGCAAAUGAUCAGAUUCGUCAUCAAAGGAAUAUCCUGUAUCAGAACUUCCUAAUUCACUGAUAAAAACAGUUUAUUGAAAAGUAGAAUUUACACUCUGAAAGGGACAAAAAGUAUAUCUACAGAGGCAAUAAAGGGUUCAAAGUCCCUAGGAAAUCACUAGCUGUGUCAUCUGUCCCAAGCCCUGAUGUAGCAUCUUCUGGUCCAAGGAGCCCAUGAAUCCCAGAGAAUAUUGUGAUAGGCCUGAAAAUUCCAAGACCCCCUGAAAUCUUCCAGGCCACCUAAAGAACAUGAUUGUGUUUUAUCAGCAAAUUAAGCUACCCGAAAGAGCAAAGUGUGGGAGUAGAAGAGGGUCAUUGAUCAACAGGCUCAAGAGUUCUGGGAAUCAAGAUUCCAGUUUGUAACCCCAAACAAACGGUAAGGUCCAAACAUCAGAGGAAAUCAUUACCCAGAUGUGGAAAAACGAGUGAUACAUCCAACAGUAGAAAUAACCUGUCCCUAAGGUCUUACCCGUGGGAUAAUUGGUAUGUCAUGAUCCUCCGGUUCUACAUCUGUGAUCAGCUGCAUGAUGCAAUGGAAAUUCAGCUCAUAGAGGAUAGGAAGAAGAGUCCUGAAAGAAUCGGUUUAUUGUGGUCUGUUGGGGUAUUGGGGUCUGUUUGGGCCUGAGGGUCAGAACUGUCUGGAGGCAAUCUAGCCUUUCCAAAAACAGUCUGUGUGCCUCAUAAAACAAGCAUUAUGAAGGUCUGUACCUUGUUCAGAGAUACAUACACCUUCCCAUGCUUUUAUAGUUCUUCAAUUAAGUCAUUUUGCCUCCGAACCGAACUCUCUUGUGCCAAGAUAUACCAAUAUGUCAUGCAUCUUAAAGGAACACUCCAGGCACCAUAACAGCUUAAUCUAAAAAAAAAUUAAUUACAAUUACUCCCCCCAGGCAUUAACUGGCUUCCAAAAUGUCAGUUUCAGGAAUCACUAAAUGCUGCCUGGCAGGGGCAUGGCUGAUUGACUGAGAUCACUCAGCUAAAGCUCUCAGCUAAUCAGUGAUUCUCCAUUCACAAAAUUGGCUUGAAAAAUGUAUGUUUCUUUCAAGCCAGGUUUGUGAAUGGGGAGUCACUAAUUGGCUGCCAACGUCAGCUGACCGCUCUUAGCCAAUCAGCACACACCUGUGAAAUAGACCUCUCCAUGCUUCCUGAAACUGAAAUUUUAGAAGCUAGAUGCCGCCUGGGGGAAGUUGAGAUUGGCGCUGAAGGCAACUUUGGGGUGUAACCAUUCUAAACCAGUUUAACCCCUUCAGGUAGGAGUGUGUCCAGAGGCCUCGUGUCAGCAUAAGGCAUCAUAACAACUUAAUUUGGAUGAAGAUAUUAAUGCAAAUUAAGUUGUUAAUGUGCCUAAACUGCCCCUUGAAGCAAUGCUGCCUUUCAACAUUCUGAAGAGAGACGGUAAAUGCAACAUCAUGUUAUGCUGUGUGGGUCUAUCGAGAAGCAACUUGACAAGGCUUUAUCAGCUACAACAGAAUUUUAAUGUAUGGGGGCCAGCCAGCGCAACUAGAUUAUCUUGAGCUGACUUAAAGGCACACUGUAGGCACCCAGACCACUUCAUUGAAAUGGUAUGGAUGCAAACUCCCUUCACCCUUAAGCCUAGAUUGGUAAUUAUUGCAGUUUAUAUAAACUGACACAAAAAACACAAGUAUCUACAAUAAAAGAAAAACAGGACCACACAUAGAGUAGUAGAGUAAAACACUGAGAAGGGGUGUAUUCAAUGUUAAACUCACAAAAUUAAGUUAAAAUCAGGCUCAUCUGGUGUGUAGAUGUAUUCUUUUUCUAAUCUAAUUGUGGUGGAUCUGGUUACCUCGAAUCCUUAAAGAACCACUAUAGGCACGCAGACCACUUCAGCUCCAUGAAGUGGUCUGGGUGCCAGGUCCCUAUAGUUUUAACCCUGCAUCUGAAAUAAUUAUUCACUGAGGGUUAAUCCAGUCUCUAGUGGCUGUCUCACUGACAGCCACUAGAGGCCGCUUGUGAAAAUUACAGUGAGAAGGCGCUGACAUGCACAGGAAAGCAUUGAGUAAUGCUUUCCUAUGGGCAGUUUGUUUUGAAUAUUUUUAUUGUUAUCACAAUUUAAACACGGACAUCAAAAAUAUUUGUGUUAUAGUAAGUAGUUUCCCACGCAGCAGCAUAAGUAUCGGUAUAUAAAGAUGUAUGCAUUUUGUCGCCUACACAGAGGCGGAUUUGUCUAAGCCUGAAUAACAUAACAUAUAGGUUCACAUUUGGUUGCUUGUGUUUUACCUCCAUAUGACUUGUGGUGCACCUUGAUUGAGGUUAGACCGAUGGGUAUGGUUUUGUAUGCUCCUGUUGUUUGCGUGUGACUUUGAGCUCUGGCAUGUCAUGUGUCUUUUUAUUCGCGUGUUCUGACCUAGUUAGGCCUGGAUUGCAGUGGCUAUGUGUGUGUCGUAUCCUUUUGCUUUGUUGAUGAUGUUAGAACUGUUGGCGUUCUAUCUGCUGCCCUGCUAUUGUGUAUGUAGAUGACUUUUCAUGGUUUGUAUUGCCUUCCUGAAGGCCUAGUAUUUCCACCUCGGGUAAUACGACAGUAAGACUCGUCUCCAGAUGUGCAUAAUCCGGUCCCUAUAUAAAGAUUCCGUUCGGUCAGUUUGGUGUCGUGUUCUGGUGGGUUCUCCUAUUAGUAUGUCUGUUGUGUUAUCUAGUGGAAUCUGGGUCCGAUUGUGUAAGUCUGUGUUUGAUGUGUGGGUGUAUGUGGUAUGCUGAUUGUUUGGUUCUGUGUCUCCUGUGUUUGCCCUUCUUUCCCUGUCUGGUUGUGGUGUUGACUGACUGUGUGUCGUGAUUAUCUAUGUGUUGUUUUGUGCCGGGUUACGUGUGUCGCUAUUUGUGGUUGUAGCGUUUUUAUUGUGUCACCUAAUGGUGGCGGUAUACUGAGUGGUCUUUGCCAGUCGGGUGCGUUUCCAGUGUAUGUUCGGUAUGGGACUGCUCGUGUGAGAUAUGCAUUCUCUUUCGUGUUUUGAGGUCUCUCGGUUCGUUGCCUUGUCUGCAUUAGUCCGUUGGAGUGUGUUUGUGUGAGUGAGUGGGUCGUAGUGUGCUAGGCUGUAUGUGGGGUACCUGGGGGGGGGAUGGAGGAUAGUUCCGUUCCCUGUCGCCGUCCUGGCUCAAAACAUCCCGCUCUCUUGCCCGGUCCUUCGGUUCCAGGGUCUUGGUUUUCUUCCUCCCCGGCUAUUGUGCUGCUAAGCAGUGUUGAAAAGCAUUUGAGGUGGUUAAUCGUAGCCAGUGGAACCAGCGUUUGGUGUAGCGGUCUCUGUGGUUCGGGGUACUCACCUUUAUAUCUUCGAAUUUCCUAGUGGCUUCCACCCAUCGUGUGAUUGGGGGCGUGAUGGCCUGCUUCCAGAAGAUGGGGACGGUCGCUUUGGCUGCGUUCAAGAGCCGUGGGAUGACAGAUUUGGUGUAUGUUGAUACAGUGAUGUUGGUGUGAUGUAGGAGAAAGGUGGCAGGGGACCUUGGGAGCAUCUCGUCUGUUACUUUGUGUAUUAUGUCUCUAAUUGCGUUCCAGAAUGGUCGAAUACGUGAGCAUGUCCACCAGAUGUGUAGGAACAUGCCUACCUCCUCCCCGCAUCUCCAGCAUGUGUCUGGGGUUUCUGGGUUCCUGACGUGGAGCGCCUUCUGGUGUUUAUCUUGUACGGGUUUUCUUGCAAUCUUGCUGAGCUAGGCAUUUUUUGUAUCAGGCUGAUGCUUUUGUCCCAGUCUGCUUCUGUCAUGGUCUCGUCUAGAUCUUCCUCCCAGUUUCUUAUGCAGGGGGUGCUAGCAGGUACCUACUGGUGACCAACAUGGCGUAUAUCUGCGAAAUGGCACGGAGUGUUUCUUUGUCUUGCGUGCAGAAUAGUUCGAAUUGUGUAGGCUCUCUUAGCAGGGAUGGUUUUUGCGGGAUGGACCGAGCAUAUUGGGCGAUUUGCGCUCUUGCCAGUGUGUGUGAGAAGGUGAGUGGCCUGUCCGGGAAUAGGUCGUUUAAUGAGUGGAAGUCAAAUGGGUGCUGGAGGACAUCCAUCAUGCGGGGAGUUGUCGUGUGUCCUGCUGGGCCCGGCGUGGGGCCGAGGUCUCCCGCUGGGAAGUCUGGGUUGCCCCUUAGCGGUAGCAGCGGGCCCGGAUCCGUUGUCAGGUAUUGUUUCGUGCCCUGCCUGUGCCAGAUCUUCAUGGUUGCCGCCACGAAUGGGUUGGUGAUGUUUUUUUGCCUGUAUGUUGCCCUGGGGAUCCAUGGCAGGGUGCGGAGGUCGCAUUUAGUAGUGUCAGAUUCCAGUUGGGUCCAUGGUUUUGUGACGCUGGCAUACGACCAGCUGACGACUCUGGUGAGGUGUGCUGCAUGGUAAUAUUUUUCGAAAUCUGGGAGCGUCGGGCCCCCUCAGAGUUUAGGUAGGGUUAAUUGGGCGUGUGCUAUGCGUGGGGAUUUGCCCUUCCAUAUGAACGUGCGGACCUCUGCCUUCAGAGCCGUGAAGAAUAUUUGUGGAGCUAGUAUCGGCACUGUUUGGAACAUGAAGAGUAGUUUGGGCAGUAGUGUCAUCUUGACUGCAUUUACUCUUCCUAGACAUGAUAUGUAGUAUGAGCUCCAUCUAUGUAGUUCCUCUGUCGCUUUUUUUAAUAUGGGGAGGUAGUUUUGUGUUUAGAGGUCCACUGUGUUAGGUGUGAGCCAUACCCCCAGAUAUCGCAUGCGUUGAUCGCACUAGCAGUAGGGGUGUCGCCCCUGAAGUGUUUGUCUGAGGGUGUGGUUGAUGGUUAGGUUUAGGAUCUCUGAUUUUGAAUAGUUUAUUAGAUUAUGAGGUUGGAGAUUUGCCCAUAUUCUUCGAACUCCGUCUGUAUUGCCGGUAGGGAGGUCUCCAGGUUUGUGACUACAAAUAGCAUGUCGUCCACGUAUGCUAAGGUUUUGUGGUGUGUGGUUCCAGUUGUGAGACCCUGUAUGUCUGCAUUCUGCCUGAUCCUGCUCAGGAAUGGUUCCAGCGUCAGUGCAAAGAUUAAGGGCCAAAGUGGGCAACUCUGCCUGGUUCCGUUGUAUAUCCGGAACAGGUCUGUCAGUGCUCCGUUAAUUUGGAUUUGUGCCGUUGGGCAAGUGUAUAGCGCCUUCACCCAGGUGAGGUAUUUUGGUCCUAUACCGAAUGUCUGGAGAGUUUCAAGCAUCUUGUCCCAGUUCACCCUGUCAAACGCCUUUUUCGCGUCCGUUGACAGGAGGAGGAUCUGGGUCUUUUGUACUCUGGCGUGUGCUAUGAUGUUCAGGGCUCUGAUGGUGUUGCCCCUCACCCCUCUGCCCGGUAUGAAUCCCGUUUGAUCAGGAUGGAUUGUGGCUGGCAGUAGUGGUGCCAGUCGUGUCGCCAGGAUGCUUACAAGAGUUUGAUGUUAGUGUUCAGCUUGGUGAUCGGGCAGUAGCUUGGGCAUAAUGAAGGCCUUUUCCUUCCUUUGGGAGCAGGGUAAUGUUCGCCGAGGUGAAUUGGGUUGUUGGUGCGGCUCCCUCUUUUUUGGAAUUCAGGGCGUUUAGCAGUUUCGGUAGGACGUCCUGUGCGAAGACCUUGUAGUAUUGGAGGGGCAGCCCAUCCAGUCCUGGUGCCCUGCCCGUUUUUGUUUUUUUGAUAGCGUGUCAGUUCUUAGAGCAUUAUGGGCGUCUCUAGUGUUUCUUGGUCGACCUCUGUUAUUCCUGGUAGGUUUGCUGAAUCCAGAUAUCUGUGUAUGUCUACUAUUUUGUGUGGGCGGUUCUUCCGGUGCGUCUCGGCGAGGUGGUAUAGGUCUUGGUAGUACGUGUGGAACGCUGUUGCUAUCUGGUCUGGGAGAUGUCUGAGUUGUUGCUGUGCAUCCUUGAAUUACGGAAUAUAUAGUUGGGUUUUACGUUGUUUCAGAAGGUUACCUAGUAAUCUCCCGCAUUUAUCUCCAUGUGCAUGGAUCAUGUGCCUGUAGUGUUGAUAGGAACGUUGGAUCAUUCGGUUAAGGUGCGUGGUGAGUUGGUUACGUUUGGCUGUUAGGUCUCUGUAUGUUGUUGCGUCAAGUGUGCGUUUGUGUCUGGCUUCCAGGGUCGCAAUGUCUCUUCUAAGCUCGGUCAUCUCCUGUAUCACCGCCUUUUUGCGGAUUGCGCACAUUGCUAUGAAAUGGCCUCGUAUUACCGUCUUGUGUGCUUCCCAGCAGGUCAGUGGUGUCACGUCCCCCGUCUCAUUGUCUUGAAAGUAGUCUCGUAUGGUGUGGCUGAUCUUGUCUGUCACCGUCACGUCUGAGAGGAUUGAUUCGUUUAGUCUCCAGGACAUCUGUCGGGGUUUGAACAGAGGUGAUUUCACCCACAUGCGGAUUGGGCAGUGGUCCGACCAAGUCAUUGGCAGGAUUUCCACUGCAUUGAGCAGGGUCAGGUUUUGAUAGGUCAUUAGGAAGUAGUGCAGCCUCGUAUACGUUGAGUGAGUCUUUGAAUAGAAGGUAUAGUUUUGGGCUGUUGGGUGCAGCGCUCUCCAGCAGUCUGUCAAUUGGUGGUGAUGUAUAAGGCAGAGUGUGUUUGUGUGUCUGUUGUGUGGAGUUCUAUAUGUAGAUGUGGAAUCUUGGUCUGGGUGUAGUGCCAGGUUGAGAUCUCCCCCAAUGAUCAGAGUACCUUCCGCAAAUUUCAUCAGGGCGCUCAAUGUGUUCCGGAGGAAUUGAUAUUGUUUUGUGUAUCUUUAGUGAAGAUAUAUCUGCCCUGUGUGCACCAGAGGGUGGCUUGUUCCGUGUAUUGGGUUCUGCUAGAGAAGAAGAUGCCUACACCCUGCGUGCGUCUGUCCGGAUUAUUGCUGAAGUAUCCCGUUCGGAAGUUGCGAUCUUUCAGUGCCGACGUUCUGCCCUCUUGAAAGUGCGUUUCUUGGAGAAAUGCUAUUGAUGCCUUGUAGUGUUUCAGGUCUCGCAGAAGUCUUGUGAGUUUCUCCCGGACGUUUAGUCCAUGCACAUUGUAGGAGAUUAUACUUAAGUCCUCUCUGACAUAUCCGCUGGGGCGGACAGGGUUAGUUGGGGGGGUAGGGCUAGGGUAUAUACGUGUGUGUGUGGUAUAGUGUGGUCACGGAUUUGACCGGGUUCGGAGCGUGUGCUGCGUGGGUUUGUGUUGUCUGUAGUGUAUCUUUGGGUCUGUAGGUUAAUGGACAGUCAUCCCGGUAGUUUGACUGUUAGGCCUGACCAGUUGAUGGGUUUGGGUCUGUUCCGGGAGUUGUGCUUCCCCUGACAAAUGGGGAGUCCUGUGUCCUAUGCCUGUGGGGGUAUCGGGCUUUCCGUCCACGGUGGAUCAGUCCGCUGCGUGACAUCUUUUAAGUCCGUUUGUGUGCCGUAUGUGAUAGGUUAUACUGUACGUGGUUCUUGGUCCUUCGUCUCCUAAGUGGCUGUGUGUCUGGAGUGCCCGCUCCGUCUCUCAUUUUGGGUUGAGCAUGGGUCGGUGGGUGCGUGGUGUGUUGGUUAUUGCAGAAACUAUCUCUGCCGUCAGCAGACGGCUAUCGCUUUCGGGGUUAGUGCCGCCUUGGGUCUAUCGUGUUUUGAGGGAUUUUACUUUGUGAACCGUGCCGUUUAAGGGCCGUUUGAUCAGGGUCUAGCGGUCUCGUGCGGUGGGGGCCUGUGGGUAUGGGGGUGCCUGGUGGGCCGAGUUGGUCCUGUGUGGCUCUGGGGGGGGUGUUGUUCCCUAGCCCAUGUUGUGUCACCUGUUGCUGCGUAGUGUGGGGUUCUGGUAUGUUCGGGAGUGGGGCCUCUGUCUCUCUACGGUAGCUGUGUCGCUAUCAUUACCCUGCCCUGUCUGGGUCCCUGGGUAGGGAGUGCUGUCUGGUGUACAUCUCUGGUCUUGCUCCGUGUCUGGUUUGGUCGGGCGCUUUCGUGGUUCAGGUGUACACAGGAAAUCACAUAUUUAUCAGUUAAAACUGUACAUUGAACAUUUCAGUCCCCCUAUGAUAAUGUUGCAUUGUACGCCUAUCUGCAAGUUUGGUGGAACAUCUAGCCCAUUGCACUUGCUAUCUGUUUCCCUUCCCGUGUCUGUGCUUCAUGCGUCUUUGGCGCGCUGCUGGGGCAUUGUACUUGCCCUCCGUAGCAUACAGGUUGUGCCUGGGCGCUCUGCCUCCUAGACUGCUGCUUGGCAUUUCACCAGAGAGUUUUGUAUGUGUUAGCUAUCUUGUCGUCGUCCCCCCUUUCUUUGGGGGGGUGUGUACCCCCCCUCCUACCCCUUUGCUGUAGUUCCUUCCUCACCCCUCCCCCCCUGUCCUUGUGGUUCAGUUUGCUUCUGCCUGUUCUUCCCCCCACCCUUCCUCUCUCUGUUUUCCCAUCCCCCUCCGCUCCCAUUUCCAGCUCGUAUCGUGGUUCCCUCACUCUCCCCUUUGGUCCCAUUACUCCAUGUCCCCUCUCCCUCCCCUCCCUCCCUCUUCUCUCCCUCCUCCUCCCCCAGCAGAGCGUUUGUCAGUGCCACAUCAUUACAACGUCCUGAGCGGCCUCCCGUUUUGUGUCCUUGUUCUUGUCUCAGUGGAGGUGCACUGAGGGCCUGCCCACUGUCCCCCUCCCCAAAAGUCCUGUCUCCCUCCUCCUUGGCGCUUCAGGUAUUAAUUAUUGUGCCUGGAGCUGGUCCUCUUGGGGUCUGCGUGAUUAUUGUUGUGGCCCUGGCGGUUGUUGCAGGAACAAUCUCGUCAGCCAAUCUGGUACCCGUUGCAGCGGGAGGCCUAGGGUGCGUAGAAAUCCCGGGACAUCAUCCGGCUUUCGUAUUAUCAGUUGGUCUUGUCCGUGUCUGGCCGCGAGCGAGAAUGGGUAUCCCCAGCGGUACGGCACGCCGGCCUGUUGCAGGGCAGAUGUUACUGGACGUAGGGCUGUCCUGGCUUGUAGGGUGUAGCAGGAUAGGACUUGAUAUAUGGAUAUGGUCUGACCUUCCUGGCGGACUGUCCCCAUGCGGCGAGCUGUGUGUAGUAUUUCUAAUUUAAGGUGGUAGUUGUCAAGAUACGUAUUAUGUCCCUUGGUUGUUCUUCUGGUGCCGGUAUGGGUCUCAGCGCCCUGUGUUCGCGGACCAGGCCUAUUCUGGGUAUGUGCUGGCCCCCCAGUACUUGGGUAAAGAUUUGUCGUAGAAGUUCUGGUAUGUUUUCAGACUGGCCCCCCUCACGCAUCCCGCGGAGGCGCAAGUUCAUUCUGCGGCCGCGGUUGUCUAAGUCAUCCACCCAUGUUGUUAGGUAGGCUAUGUCAGCUUCUUGAUUCGUGACCGUUGUAUUGGUCUGUUCUAGGUCCGUUCUUAGUGCUCGUGUCUCUGUCUCUGCCACUGCCCUGCGGGCUUCUACAUUUGCCAUAUCAGCGCGUAGCUGGACCACCUCCUUGCGGACCACGCGGCCCAGGUGAUCAGAUAGUGCUUCACAAUCAGAUUUGGUCAGUAGGUUGGGCAAUAUGUCCCUCCACUCACCGUCUGGCUGCUGCUGUGAGUCUGAUGUGUGAGACGGUGCUGAGAGAAUCUGGCCGGCAUGGAUGGGAGUGACUCAAGGGAUAGGCUUGCGGCCUCCAUCUCCCCCUGCGGUGACUGGGCGCGGGUUGUGGCUUGGAGGUAGGACCUGAUAGAGAAGGACAAGUGAGAAGCUCUUUGAAUAUUGCACUUUGAAUAUUGCACUUUGUGCCAAACACUUUCCACAGACAUUUGCCAGGAGUGUGGAAGCUGGCCUCCUGCCCACCGACUAUGGGCCACAUCAGCGACUGUAAAGACCCAUUUUUUUAUUCCCCCUGGUUCGGCACUUUCCAUUCGUGUGCAUAAAACCGAACAUUAGCUCCCUGACAGCCAUUCGCAUGGACAAAAACCGAGAAUAGACUUCAGGGGGACUUAGCUGCGAAUGCCCUGGAACUAUUUUCGGCAUGAUUGAUUUUGCAUUUCCUGGUCGGUCCCCAAUGGCACUUAGCCAUGAUUCUAUGGAACUAUUUUGUGCAUAGAACCAUGGUGCGGUCGGUCAAAUUAUGACUUCCAGGAAAAUCCUGAAACCCUGAACCGAUCUGGGUGAUUUUGGAUAUGUUGGUCACCCAGAUCGAGGCUAUCAGGGGAUGUAACUUUUAGGAUACUUUUGGGGUGUUUGGGAAACGUGUGUUUUCUGUGCCUGGAGAUAAUUGAGUUUAUUACAGUGCUUGACUCAAUUAUCUCCCAGGCACAGGGGAGGGAUUAUCUUGUUUUGUAUUGAGUGUCCUGGACCUGAGAGCCAAUGUAAUCGUGUGUAUGGUUUUACUGUAGUCUACUCUCUGGUCCAGGGGGAAGUGCCCCUUGCAUGGGCACCUGCAUAUAAGGCCAGUUGUGGCUGCCAAUAAAUGUAUUCUAGCUUGUACUCCCAGAAUUAUGUGUUGUGUGGUUACUGGGAGGGGAAAGGGCUAUUCUUUAAUCACUGUUCCAGUGUGGAGGAUUCAACGGGGAAAGCCCUUAUAAGGACUAGAGCUCCCAGGACUGAGUGUUAUCCAGGGCCUGGGGUCUGUCUAGAGUGAAUUCCCCAUUCGGCUCUAGGAGGGAGCAGUUCCAGGACCCCAGUCAAACCACAUCGACUGUGGGCAGAAGUGCUGCGGUUUGUCCCCUCUCCAGCUAGGAAGCUGUUCCUGGCAGAGGUACCCAGCCAGGGUGGUUGGCAGCGGUGGGAUGGCUUCCUUUCUGUGUGAAACUAGCACUACUUCAGAGAUGGGAGGCAAGUACCGUCAGGCAAUAUUCAACAUCGACACCCAGUUUCAGCUGCAGUUACAGGAAGUUCCGCUCAGUUUGGAUUACCCUAUCUCAGCAGAAAAAGAGACGCAAUGGAGGGUGAUGCUCCGAACCGAAUUCUGGGUGGGGGUCCUAGGAGAAAUUUUCCCAGACUCCAACCAAUGCCUAUGGGACCAAUUCGACCUACUGAUGCCGUUUCUGGGAGAGCAGCCCCUAGUGGGUAAGAGAACUGGAGCGGUUGGUCGGAAUUGAGUUAUUGUUGGAUGAAUCCUACCUGGCCUUGAGGUGGCAUGCAGGCCACCUCUACCCAGGGCUACUCCACUACCAGCUCCUCGAGGGAAAGGACUACGUUGGGCCUGGGCUGUUGUGGGAGACCUUUGAGGAUCCCCUAGGGUUUGAAAACCUGGACAGUACCACCUACUUCCCAACCAACCACAGAGAUAAGAAACCUUAUCGACUGGUCCUGGGAAGACCCCCAGUUUGCAGGUGGAGAUGGGACCGAGGUCUCUCCACCGGCCCUACAGGGAUGUUGAGCAGCCUGCCCAGAUCUCCAACCCCAGAUGGAGAUGUUAGGAGUGGGGUUGGAGAUAGAGCAAAUUACAGGGAGAGAAGUGUGUUAGCCUUCCUCCACAGCGGCAGAGUGUGUUAUUGGGAGAAGAGACAGUCGGUCUCUCUCCCCAGUGGCAGUGUAUCAUUCAGGGAGAGGAGACAAGUGGUCUCUCUCCCCAGCGGCAGACAGAGUUGCAGGGAGAGAAGUGUGUUGCCCUUCCUCCCCAGCAGCAGAGUGUAUUAUUUGGAGAGGAGACGGUCGGUCUCUCUCCCCAGCGGCAGACAGGGUUACAGGGAGGGUAGUGUGUCCUCCUUCCUGUUAAGCGGCAGAGUGCGUUACUGGGAGAGAAGACGGUCGAUCUCUUUACCCAGCGGCAGACAAAGUUACAGGGAGAGGAGAGUGUCAUCCUCCAUCUCUAGCAGCAGGGUGAGACGGUCGGUCUCACUCCUCAGCGGCCGAGUUUGUUACAGGGAGUGGAGACAACGCGUCCCACUCUCCAGCGGCAGGGCGAGUUAUUGGGAGUGGAGAUGGUCAGUCUCACUCCCCAGCGGCAGUGUGUAUUACAGGGAGAGGAGCGUAUCGUCCUCUCUCCACAGCGGCAGGGUACUAUACAGGGAGGGGACAUAGUCGGUCUCACUCCCCAAAAGCAGCAGGGGUUACUGGGAGUGGAGACGGUCAGUCUAACUCCCCGGCGGCAGUGUGUUACUGGGAGUGGAGACAGUCGGCCUCAUUCCCCAGCAGCAGUGUGCAACCCAGGGAGAAGAGAGUAUCGUCCUCCAUUCCCAGAAGCAGUGUGUGUUCCAGGUGGCCGGUCCCUCUUCCCAGUGGCAGGGCUUUUUAAAAAGAGAGGAGACAACCGGUCUCUCUCCCUAGCGGCACUGCAAGUUGCAGGGAGUGGGGAGAAUUGCAUCAUUCAUCCCCAGCUACAACUUGGUCUACAUGGAGUGGAGUGCAGCAGUUUUCCUCCCCAGCAGGACCCUGGAUUUACAAACAGAAGCUUGUGGCAGGUGGCCCUCUUUACAGCUAACCCUUUUGGGAAGGGUCACCAGACUAACACAGACCCAGACGUUUCCCAUGGACUCCUGAAGCUGGCCUCCUUCCCACCGACUAGGAGCUAGGUCAGUGACUGUAUAGACCCAUUUUUUUUUCCCUGGUACGGCACUUUCCAUUUGUGCGCAAAGAACAGCUUCCUGGCAGCCGUUCGUAUGGCCAAAAACCGCGAAUAGACUUCAGGGGGACUUAGCUGCUGGAGCUGUUUUCAGCAUGAAGACUUUGCGGUUCACGGUCGGUCCCAAGUGGCACUUAGCCGCGAUUCUAUGGAACUAUUUUGGGCAUAGAACCAUGCGUGUGGUCGGUCAAAUUAUGACUUCCAGGAAAAUCCUGAACUGAUCUGGGUGAUUUUUGGAUAUGUUGGUCACCCAGAUCGAGGCUAUCAGGGGAUGUAAGAGGGUUUUAUGUAUUUUUAAGGUACUUUUGGGGUGUUUGGGAAAUGUGUGUAAAGUAUUAAAUUGGUUGUUAUACAGUGCUUGACUUAAUUUUCUCCCAGUCACAGGGGAGUGAUUAUCUUGUUUUGUAUGGGAGUGUCCUGGACCUGAGAGUCAAUGUAAUUGUGUGUAUGUUUUUACUGUAGUCUACUCUCUGGUCCAGGGGGGAGUGCCCCUUGCAUGGGUACCUGCAUAUAAGGCCAGUUGUGGCUGCCAAUAAAUGUAUUCCAGCUUGUACUCCCCGAACUAUGAGUCAUCGGGUUACUGGGAGGGGAAAGGGCUAUUCUUUAAUCACUGUUCCAGUGUGGAGGAUUCAAAGGGGAAAGUCCUUGUAAGCACUAGAGCUCCCAGUACUGAGUGUCGCCAGUGCCUGGGGGUGUCUAGAGCGAAUUCCCCAUUUGGCGCCAGGAAGGAUCAGUUCCAGAACCCCAGUCAAGCCACGGCGACUGUGGGCAGAAGUGCUGUGGUUUCUCCCCUGUUCCAGCUAGGAAGCAGUCCUUGUUGGAGGUACGCAGCCAGGGGUACAGGGAGUUCCAUUACACACUUUAUCAUCAUUCCAGUUUCUUUUAAGAUUUGAUGAUGGGCAUUUGAUUUGAAAGAUUUUUGUAAGUGUGACCAAUAAAAGUAAUUUGUUAUAAUUUUAGACAGUGUUGCACUAUGUUGUUUUUAUUUUUAUUUUGCAUGCAUAUUUAAUUUGAGGUAACCAGAUUCACGUCUAUUGGAUUUAACUAAGAAUACAUCUAUACACCAGAUGAGCCUAAUUUUAACUUAAUUUUGUGAGUUUAACAUUGAAUACCACCCCUUCUCAGUGUUUCACUCUACUACUACUCUGUGUGGUCCUGUUUUUCUUUUAUUGUAGAUACUUGUUUUUUUAUGUUAUAUUUUCUGACGAACUUGAGGAACAUUUGGUGUUCUACAAUAUGCAUUCCAAUAGGGUAACAUUUUAUUGUAUUUUAAGUACUGUACUUUUGGGGUGAGUAUGUUGUUUGAAUUUUGUGAUUAGUUUUUAUAAACUGCAAUAAUUACAUGCUAGGGUUAACUCCUCCUCUAGUGGCUGUCUAUCGGACAGCCACUAGAGGGACUUCCAAAUGCUUAGACGACUUUUGGUCACCAAAAAGAGGCUGGACGUCUUUGCGCUAUGCAUGAGGGCUUCCAGCGUCACCGGAAUCCCCAUAGGAAAGCACUGAAUAAUGCUUUCCAGUGGGGAAACCCUAAUGCAAGCGCAUGUGCAUUAGGUCUCCCCCACCGGCAGACGUCGGCAGGAGAGGAACAUGGGCGGAGCUGAGGGAUAUUGGCGCUGGGCCAAGGUAAGGAACAGGGUUAUUAAUUCCUUCUGCACCAUGGGGCAGGAGGGGGAGGCGGGGCUUGACAAAGGAGAAAGCUGUAGUGCCAGGAAAACCACUAUAAGCACCAAAACAACAUUACAUUAAUGGAGAGUUUUUGGUUUGUAGAUGGUGUCCCUGUAGUCUGUUUGUUUUUAAUUUAGUCUAGUUUUCUGUUAAAUCUCUUUGUUCAUGUGUCGGUAGCCACAACUCCCCUACAUGUGACUUACAUAUUCUUUGUACACAUUUCUUGUAAAGAGAGAUCUAAUUUUUACAAUUAUUUUUUUGCAGUUUACUUAAUUUAGAAUUUCUUAUCUCCUGCUCUGUUGAUAGCCUUCUAGAGCUUGCAUAAACCUCCUCUGUGUAAGUAAAGUUCAAUUAACAGGGUAGGAGAUACAAUUUACUUCUGAAGUAAUCAAACUGUGCUGUCACAUCUGAUUGAAAAAAUAAACAUUUUUCAUGCAGGCUGUGUGAGUCACAGCCAAGGGAAGUGUGGCUAGGGCUGCAGAAACAGAAACAAAAUUGAUUUAAUGUCUAAAUGGCAGAGAUUUGAGCAAUGAGAGUAUAGCAGAAUAUGAAACCUCUUGUCAUGUCAUACCUCUUAACCAAAAUGUCAUAAAAAGGGGGAUAUACACUCACAGAUAUAUUUUUCAGUGGGUGGAAAUCAAGAGUAUUUUAGUGCUAACUGUGAUUUUUACAUAUCUAUUUUUCUAGCACUUAUCUCAACAUAUAUGAUAGCUAUGCAUUGUUGUGUAUCUUCUUAUGUUCUAAUUAUUGUACAGAUCAGUUAGAUAGUUAAUGUUAUUUAACCAUGUUGAAUAUUGAAGGCUGAGCUCUGAUAGACAUCUAAAAGUUAUUAGACAUGUGACACUCCAGCUACAGUUCAACACAAGUCUAAGUAUGCUUCUCUAGAUAACUAGAGUCUAAAUAUGCGGAUUAUGUGGAUUCUUGUCCCAUGUAGCUGAGGAGUUGCAUUUUCUGGAAAUUAUGAAAUAACAGGUUUUUGUUGUUUUAGAUGACAGGUAAAUCAACACAUGUAAAAUGGCCGUGAAUUAGUUGCCAGGGCUUCCAGAAAAAGAAACAUGUUGUUCAUUAAGUCACUUUGCACUUGCUGACAGUUCACAGCCAGACACUAUUGAUUACUGUACAGAGUUCCAGGGUAAUAAUGUGUUUCCUAUGUUGUCAUCCAGAUCAUUAAAAUGUCUCUGGUCAAGAAGCAAGAUUUUCUGCACAAUGGAAAAACUAUUUGCACAUCUUACAACAUAUAGAAUAGGAGUGUUAAUAGAUAUCUUAUUAAAAAUGCCAGCAUCCGACCCUGAACAGAUUCCUUAAAUUACUGUUCUAAAGGAAAUUGAAAAGCCACCCAGCAAAUCACAUCUGAUUUUGGAUAUGUGUGAGAUGCUAGUUUGUAAUAGAAAUCACGUUGUCAAAAUCCUUUUCAUCUCGGUUUCUGAAAAAAGAAAAUAAUUUAUAUUGCUUAUUUUUCUCCAGGUAGAUUUAUUAGAAACUCCUCUGCAACAGUAUUCUUCUGCAUUGUCAUCUCCAAAGAGAUUGUCGCCAUCAAUUCACAUGAUGCCCCCAACAAGACCACUAAUGCACCAGGCACAAACAGGGCUGACAAGUCACCCCUUACAUAUCUCAACCAUGGACAGGUAUAACUUAUGCAUAAAUACUGCCGUCAGCAAAUACUUUGAAAAGGCAGAGGAUGAGUCUUAACGAGGCAAAAGUGGUUCCUGCGUGCUACGAAUCCAGAUGAAUGCUUGCUUAAAUUGCAUGUAUAGGACAAUCCAAGGAAGAUUUUACUUUCCUUUCUAAUUAUCCUUAGGCUGCUACAGAACCCACUACAACCAGAAUAGACAUUUUUUGGCGUUACCUGCUUUCCGAAAUGAAUAUGAGAUACAUUUGCAUAUGCAAUAUGAAAUAAAAUAGAAUCAGUUUGCACAUGUGCAGUAAACCUUGAAUGGUUAGUUUACUGUGUAUGUCUUUUUAUAGUUUACUGUGUAUAUGUACAGGUGAUACUUUAAAGUCUUUUUAAAAUCAUUAAUGAUAGUGCUCCUGUAUACAAAGCAAGAGCACCUUCUAUUAAUAUAUUUAGAAUACAUUGCAGUUGUCCCUUUUAGUAGUGCCAUUUUAAUUCGUUUACAUCAAACUUCCAAGUUUUUUUAAUUUUGUACCUCUGAUUGCCACAUUCUCUUUGCAAGAGCAAACCUGACUCAUUAGUGCAGGGGGAUCUGUCAGAAAGGAUUAUAUAUCAAUCCAAUGGUAUGAGAAGACAGAAAAACUAUUUCAUAUUUAACCAUUAUUAUUAUUUUAUUAUUUAUAAAGCGCCAGCGAAUUCUGUAGCGCUGUACAAUUUGAAAUGCCUUAUGCAUUUCAAAAUAAAAUUUUAGGAAAGAUUUUGUGUUGUCCAUAGUAGUUCUGGAUAAUCAGGUCAACUUGAGGGAGGUAUGCACAUGUAAUUUAUAUGCUGCACUUGAGAAAUCAUCAGCAAAUGUACCGGUAAGUCAUUAAGGUACAAAUAAAAAUAUACCUAAAGAGUGCUUCUGCCUUAUUGGAGAUGGCUUCCACCAUUUUACUUUAGCAUCUUGAACGAGACUGACUCACAGUCCAAGUUUUUUAACACCUUAGCAAAAAAAAAUGUAGGAAGGUUAGUUGCCACAUAAUACCACAGCUAUGAAUUUCACAGCCAUUAGGCUUUCACAAUCAGAAGAUUAAAUAUAAUGACAUUAUAAUAGAGCUAUGGUUGAAUUUUUUUUCUGAAAUAAUUCAUCUUAUUUCACACAAUACCUGUCGCUCAAUACUUUUGAGAACAAAAAAAAAUAUUGUUAUGUAUGCAAAAUUUUGAGGUUGUUGUAUUACUAAAAGUAACUAGUGGACAUACUUAUCCACUCGGUGUCAGAUUAAAAUUCUGUAAGGCUCUACACAGAAUGCACAAUGCAUUUUGUAUGUGGAGGGGACACGGAGUGUUUUUUGUGGUGGUGUUUGUGUGUGACUGUGCUGAGCAUGGUGGGGGAGAGGCUUAGUGUGUGUUGGGUGGCCUUUUCACAAAUAGAGGGCAUAAUCACCUGAAGGUCAUUUGGUGUGCCUUGUGUGGAGACUGAGUGUGACUGUGUGUGGCUAAAUUUUGUAUGUGGAGGGGACACGGAGUGUUUUUUGUGGAGACUGAGUGUGACUGUGUGUGGCUAAAUUUUGUAUGUGGAGGGGACACGGAGUGUUUUUUGUGGUGGUGUGUGUGUUUGUGUGUGACUGUGCUGAGCAUGGUGGGGGAGAGGCUGAGUGUGUGUUGGGUGGCCUUUUCACAAAUAGAGGGCAUAAUCACCUGAAGGUCAUUUGGUGUGCCUUGUGUGGAGACUGAGUGUGACUGUGUGUGGCUAAAUUUUGUAUGUGGAGGGGACACGGAGUGUUUUUUGUGGAGACUGAGUGUGACUGUGUGUGGCUAAAUUUUGUAUGUGGAGGGGACACGGAGUGUUUUUUGUGGUGGUGUGUUUGUUUGUGUGUGACUGUGCUGAGCAUGGUGGGGGAGAGGCUGAGUGUGUGUUGGGUGGCCUUUUCACAAAUAGAGGGCAUAAUCACCUGAAGGUCAUUUGGAGGGUAUUGAGGGCAUUCUUCAGUAGUCCAGUAGGAAGUGUUGUGGUCUGCAACUCUAUCUUGUGAAGAUCACCUUAAGAGUCACACUUAGUCAGAGGAUCAGACUACUGGUUGUUGUGCUCUGAGACAGUGGGACGUGCUGAAACUGUGAGGCAGCUCGUAAAGUUAUCUAUGCUCAAUACUUUCCUUCCAUGUACUGAGAUACUGAGAGCACUGAGAUCUUUUGAUCUCCCUUUUGGCUCUAGGAGGGUCCAUCUCACAGUCAGUGCCCAGUCAAGGACCAGGAGUGGGGCUUCAGAAAGAAAGGGGUCAACCGAUUAUUUUUUGGGCUGAAGCCCCGUGUGUUUUUUGACUGUUACAAUGUCACUAGAAAAACCUACAAGCCAAUGUUCAGAAAGCUAUGUACUUUAAUGAAAACAUAUCAAUUGUGUUAGUAUAAAAGAGUUUACCUGAUUGUAGUUUUGUCUUCAAAUACCAGUUUAAAAUCUCAAGCUAAUUGUCAAGCAACCAAUCAGAUGCUAUUAAAAUAUUGUCAUCUAAUAUCCACAUUUCUUUUUCAGUACUGAGGCACUAAGGCGUGAACUUGAAAGAGAG